RNAcentral lists this ribosomal RNA (301 nucleotides) under uncultured bacterium. RNAcentral describes it as "partial 16S ribosomal RNA". It matches the Rfam family "Bacterial small subunit ribosomal RNA", at positions 509 to 808 of the family's 1533-position model. The record is from RNAcentral.
CAGUAGCCGCGGUAAUACGUAGGUGGCAAGCGUUGUCCGGAAUUAUUGGGCGUAAAGCGCGCGCAGGCGGCCUAUCCAGUCUGUCUUAAAAGUUCGGGGCUCAACCCCGUGAUGGGAUGGAAACUAGUAGGCUAGAGUAUCGGAGAGGAAAGCGGAAUUCCUAGUGUAGCGGUGAGAUGCGUAGAUAUUAGGAAGAACACCAGAGGCGAAGGCGGCUUUCUGGACGAAAACUGACGCUGAGGCGCGAAAGCCAGGGGAGCGAACGGGAUUAGAGACCCCAGUAGUCCCUGUCUCUUAUACC